GAUGAAGAACGCAGCGAAAUGCGAUAAGUAGUGUGAAUUGCAGAAUUCAGUGAAUCAUCGAAUCUUUGAACGCACAUUGCGCCCCUUGGUAUUCCAUGGGGCAUGCCUGUACGAGCGUCAUUUGUACCUUCAAGCUUUGCUUGGUGUUGGGUGUUUGUCCUGAGGGACUCGCCUUAAAGUAAUUGGCAGCCAGUGUUUUGGUUUUGAAGCGCAGCACAAGUCGCGAUUCAAGGCUAUACGCCAGCUUCCACAAGCCUUUUUCACUUUUGACCUCGGAUCAGGUAGGGAUACCCGCUGAACUUAAGCAUAUCAAUAAGCGGAGGA
Molecule: unclassified non-coding RNA, 324 nt
Filed under: soil metagenome
Description: partial contains 5.8S ribosomal RNA, internal transcribed spacer 2, and large subunit ribosomal RNA
Rfam family: 5.8S ribosomal RNA (bases 1-120)
Source: RNAcentral